AGUGAACGCUGGCGGUAGGCCUAACACAUGCAAGUCGAACGGCAGCACAGUAAGAGCUUGCUCUUACGGGUGGCGAGUGGCGGACGGGUGAGGAAUACAUCGGAAUCUACUUUUUCGUGGGGGAUAACGUAGGGAAACUUACGCUAAUACCGCAUACGACCUACGGGUGAAAGCAGGGGAUCUUCGGACCUUGCGCGAUUGAAUGAGCCGAUGUCGGAUUAGCUAGUUGGCGGGGUAAGGGCCCACCAAGGCGACGAUCCGUAGCUGGUCUGAGAGGAUGAUCAGCCACACUGGAACUGAGACACGGUCCAGACUCCUACGGGAGGCAGCAGUGGGGAAUAUUGGACAAUGGGCGAAAGCCUGAUCCAGCCAUACCGCGUGGGUGAAGAAGGCCUUCGGGUUGUAAAGCCCUUUUGUUGGGAAAGAAAAGCAGCAGGUUAAUACCCCGCUGUUCUGACGGUACCCAAAGAAUAAGCACCGGCUAACUUCGU
RNAcentral lists this ribosomal RNA (491 nucleotides) under uncultured bacterium. RNAcentral's name for it is "partial 16S ribosomal RNA". It matches the Rfam family "Bacterial small subunit ribosomal RNA", at positions 29 to 506 of the family's 1533-position model. The record is from RNAcentral.